GCGCCUGUAGCUCAGGGGAUAGAGCAGCGGCCUCCGACGCCGUGUGCGGUGGUUCGAUUCCACUCAGGCGUGCCA
Molecule: transfer RNA, 75 nt
Filed under: Ruminococcus sp.
Lineage: Bacteria; Bacillati; Bacillota; Clostridia; Eubacteriales; Oscillospiraceae
Also listed under: 1 other name
Description: tRNA-Arg
Rfam family: tRNA
About the family: Transfer RNA (tRNA) molecules are approximately 80 nucleotides in length. Their secondary structure includes four short double-helical elements and three loops (D, anti-codon, and T loops). Further hydrogen bonds mediate the characteristic L-shaped molecular structure. tRNAs have two regions of fundamental functional importance: the anti-codon, which is responsible for specific mRNA codon recognition, and the 3' end, to which the tRNAs corresponding amino acid is attached (by aminoacyl-tRNA synthetases). tRNAs cope with the degeneracy of the genetic code in two manners: having more than one tRNA (with a specific anti-codon) for a particular amino acid; and 'wobble' base-pairing, i.e. permitting non-standard base-pairing at the 3rd anti-codon position.
Source: RNAcentral